Molecule: ribosomal RNA, 496 nt
Filed under: uncultured bacterium
Lineage: Bacteria
Description: partial 16S ribosomal RNA
Rfam family: Bacterial small subunit ribosomal RNA
Source: RNAcentral
AUGCACGCUGGCGGCGUGCCUAAUACCUGCAAGUCGAGCGAACGGACGAGAAGCUUGCUUCUCUGAUGUUAGCGGCGGACGGGUGAGUAACACGUGGAUAACCUACCUAUAAGACUGGGAUAACUUCGGGAAACCGGAGCUAAUACCGGAUAAUAUUUUGAACCGCAUGGUUCAAAAGUAAAAGACGGUCUUGCUGUCACUUAUAGAUGGAUCCGCGCUGCAUUAGCUAGUUGGUAAGGUAACGGCUUACCAAGGCAACGAUGCAUAGCCGACCUGAGAGGGUGAUCGGCCACACUGGAACUGAGACACGGUCCAGACUACUACGGGAGGCAGCAGUAGGGAAUCUUCCGCAAUGGGCGAAAGCCUGACGGAGCAACGCCGCGUGAGUGAUGAAGGUCUUCGGAUCGUAAAACUCUGUUAUUAGGGAAGAACAUAUGUGUAAGUAACUGUGCACAUCUUGACGGUACCUAAUCAGAAAGCCACGGCUAACUACGUG